Molecule: non-coding RNA, 29 nt
Filed under: Mus musculus (house mouse)
Lineage: Eukaryota; Metazoa; Chordata; Mammalia; Rodentia; Muridae
Source: RNAcentral
UGAUGGUUUUUGAAACUUAGUAACUGAGU